Molecule: non-coding RNA, 72 nt
Organism: Eimeria necatrix
Lineage: Eukaryota; Apicomplexa; Conoidasida; Eucoccidiorida; Eimeriidae
Source: Rfam
GGGCGGAUGGUGUAGUGGUAUCACGCCUGAUUUGCAUUCAGGAGGUCCCGGGAUCAAUCCCCGGUCCGUCCA